UACGAAGGGGGCUAGCGUUGUUCGGAAUUACUGGGCGUAAAGGGCGCGUAGGCGGAUUGUACAGUCAGGCGUGAAAUUCCCGGGCUCAACCUGGGGGCUGCGCUUGAGACGUGCGAUCUUGAGUGGGGAAGAGGGUCGUGGAAUUCCCAGUGUAGAGGUGAAAUUCGUAGAUAUUGGGAAGAACACCGGUGGCGAAGGCGGCGACCUGGUCCUUGACUGACGCUGAGGCGCGAAAGCGUGGGGAGCAAACAGG
Molecule: ribosomal RNA, 253 nt
Filed under: uncultured bacterium
Lineage: Bacteria
Description: partial 16S ribosomal RNA
Rfam family: Bacterial small subunit ribosomal RNA
Source: RNAcentral